AUGAGCACUCAGUGUUAUGCUAUAUGGUGGCAAAUUGAACUCCAAUAAAAAAAUAUACCAAAAAAAAAAAAAGAAAUGCCCUUCCUCCCACUUGGGCAGCCCAGGUGCCAGUGGUCCCAAUAACCACCUGCUUUUGCCCUGGGAGACCCUGAGCGAGGGUGGUGGGCAUGAGGAAGCCUUACCUGUAGAUGGCCGAGCUGGGGUAGCUGCCCGGGUCAUAGCUGACACGCACGUGACCCUGGUACAGCUCCACUGCCAUGUGGUCAUUGUCUCCAUUGUACAGCAAGAUCCCAUUGUCCUCUGCCGUGGAGACCUGAUGGGCAAGGACACAUUUUCUCCCACCACACUCCACCCCACCCAGCGAUGGCACAGGUAGGUGGGGGACCCACAUUUGGAAGAGGAAUGCUGUGUGCAGAGCUGUCCUCCCCUGGCUAUGUAGCCUGCCCAGGGGACAUAUCCUCCAGGGGAUGCUGACAGAGGCUAGUAGCCCCUGGUUCACAUCCCAUCCACUGCCAGGUUGGCUGGGGCUGCAGAGAGAAGGCAGAUGGACGAGCCCAGUCCUGGUAACCACUUGCUAGGAGGAGCAGGUAAGAGACCUUAGGGCGACCUGUUCAGAAAGUCCAAUGGGUGUGGGGUAGCCUGUUCUGCGGGCCUCUGGAGCCACUGAGAGGACAAGUUAAGGAAGGCUGUCUAACAGCCGUGACCACCCAAACCUGAAAAGAGCCACUCAGGAGGUAGUGCCUGUCUCUGGAGCUGUGCAAGCAAAAGCUGGAGCUACCUUAGGAGGGAGAUCACUCUACAAUGCUGUAGGAACCAUGAUCCUUCCUUGUUCCUCUUCUGUUUCUUCUGGUAAAGAACCUGACUCCCUGGUCUCCUAGGGCUGGCACAUGGCCCAGGGAGGAUGCAUCAUAGCACCCCAUCUCGCUGGACUCAGUGGCUGGGCCAGGGAUGGGCACGUGGCUGAAGGGAGGCCAAUCCAAGAUCUUCCCUGAAGUUGUGAUUGCUGUCCAACCAGCUGGCAGGGCAGAGCCUGUGACAGGGACAGUGGGGCUGACCUCACCUCUUUAAGGAGGUGCCUGAGGCAGUGGCUGGGAGGGUUUGGGUGAAUGUUACUUUGUUAAGCAGUUAGGCUAGCUGUAUUCUUGCAGUGUAGACAGUGUGGAUGGGCAAGAUGAAGUGGGGGGGGGGGCAUGGUAAGCAUGUUGGGAGGCUGAGGGGCUCUGUGAGAGAAGGAGGAGAAAGAUGCGACUGCUGGGGUAGGGAAUGCAGUUGGAGGAAGAGAGCCAAAGAGGAGAUGCAGACUUUGAUCAUUUUCCAUGUGAUGUGCACCACCCCCAUCCCUCCAGGUAAACAUUGCCAUCCAAGUGCGAUGUGCCUUUGCCCUCAACAAACCAAUGCUCUGAGACGAAAUUCAAGACAUGAAAUGGCAAAAUAAGGGCCCCAAAAUAAGGGCCAGGAGGCUAAAGAUACAAGGCCAGAGCUGAAGCCCAGAGCCAACUCCGGCCAUGUCCCAGGCCAUAGAGAAGUGUGUGUGCAGCACUGGAGGCUGGAGCUGAGGAGCAGAAAACAGACACAAACAAGAAAGAGAAGACUCAAAUGACUAAAGAAAUAAAAGAGGGGACAUUACUACCAGCAGGGAGUUCUGACACAGCCACACCCAUAGCACCAGUCUUCACAGCAGCCAAGAGUGGAAACAGCUCAAAUGUCUCUCAGUGGAUGGAUACACAGAUGUGGUCCAUACAAUGGAAUAAUAUUCAACCACAAAAAAGAAUGAAGUUCUGAUGUAUGCUGCCACAUGGAUGAACCCCAAAAACAUGAUGCCAAUGUACCGAAUACCUGCCGAGUUCCAAGCACAGCUGAGUCCUUACAUCUUCCCUCCAAGGCGGAAGCUGAGAGAACCGGCGCUACACAGCAGCUGUCUGCGCACUUUUGGUGCUAUCAGGGACUCUUCCUGGCGCAGUGUGAGGGAUGAGGGGCAGUCCUGCUUUCUCCCACCACCUGAGGUCCAGCCCCUCUGAGCAGCGGGCUACCUCUUGAUCUGCCACUGCUCCUUGGUCGGCUGUGCCAACUCCACCCCAGCAGCUCACCCACAAGCAUGGCAGCUGUGCAGCUUUUGGAUGGAGACUUCCAUGUACCUCUCGAUCUCAGUAACCCCUGUCUCUUCCUGCCAUUGUCCUUGGGUGGCCCCUGCUGGACCGUGGGCUCCCUGAGAGGCUCCACUCCCCACUCUGGCCUGAGUGGCUGGGGUUGGGUCCCUCAGCCUCAGGCCUCAACCCUGACCACCUGUCCUGACCAGUGGAACAAGGGUCCCAGAAAUGUUUACAAAGCUGCAGAUGGAAACAUUUAAAAAACCCACGAUCUUCAUGUAGUUUUCAGGUGACAGCGCACUUCUAUAUAUUCUAACAAUGAUGGUGACAAUUGUCAAUGACCCCUUAUCCAAACCUCCUGGGGCUAGAUAGGUUUUGAAAUUCAGAAGAUUUUGGAUUUUGGAAAGGCUAUUUGUAACAAUGCCUAAAGCAUUAUGUAACACAUCAAUGGGAUCUGGGGCAGCCCCUUAAUUAAACAUGUUCAUAUUUCUGCAGCAAAAUCUAUACACGUUCACACUACAUGGCAAGAAUAGUGACUAUACAUAACCUCAUAUCGGUAGGGGUCAGGUUUUAUUACCAAAUAUGUUCAAGUCAAACCAGGUUUUGCUACCAAAUGGGCUUCUGGUUUUCAGAGUUUUGUGCAUUUUGUAACUGGGGAGGAGAAACUGUGGAUCUGGAAAGAUAAUAGCCCCUUUAUGGAGCACUUAUCAGAUGUCAGACUUGGAGCAGAGUACAUUUGUUCAUCUGACCCUUAUACCUACUCCAGGAGGGAGCUAUGGGGUGCCCACUUUGCAGAUGAGAAGACAGGCUCAGAGGGGUCAAGGCAUCCACUCAGGGUCAUACUGUAAACCCAGGUCUAGUUGACCAAAGCUAUACCCACUACUGCCCUAUCCCCACCCAGACUUGCAGGAACCUGUAUAGCCAAGACCAAACCCACUUUUGACAAGUAAGGAAAUAGGAGGGGAGGGGAGUGACUUCAAGGCCCAUGCCCUUGUCUGGCCCUGAAAACAGGCAACACUGACCUGGGCCCAUCUGGAGUACCCACACACUGGGCCUCGUGCUGACACGGGUUCAAAUCUGAGGAGCAGAAGUCCACCAGCUGCUCACAGCCCCUUCCUGGGGAAAGAAUGAGGAAGGAGAGAAGCUGCCCCCAGACUCUGCCAGGUAGCUGGGCUAGCAGAAACCCCUGCAGACGCUGAGUGGGGGCCUCAGCCCUUCUGCCCACAAGACAGGGGCUCAGGGCCUGUGCACCCCCGCCCCGCCCCACUUACCCGUGUACUGUAGGGGGCACUGGCAGGUGUAGUUGCCCACACCAUCCACACAGAUACCCCCAUUGGCGCAUGUGUGCUCCACACAGUCAUCCGUAUUCACCUCACAGGUUGGGCCUUCAAAGCCGGGGGGACAGGAACA
Molecule: long non-coding RNA, 3497 nt
Organism: Canis lupus familiaris (dog)
Lineage: Eukaryota; Metazoa; Chordata; Mammalia; Carnivora; Canidae
Exons: 3
Source: RefSeq, a predicted model, not a curated record